This 305-nucleotide ribosomal RNA is filed under the name uncultured bacterium. Its description in RNAcentral is "bacterial SSU rRNA". It matches the Rfam family "Bacterial small subunit ribosomal RNA", at positions 335 to 637 of the family's 1533-position model. The record is from RNAcentral.
UAGCCUACGGGGGGCAGCAGUGAGGAAUAUUGGUCAAUGGACGCAAGUCUGAACCAGUCAUGCCGCGUGCAGGAAGACGGCUCUAUGAGUUGUAAACUGCUUUUGUACGAGGGUAAACGCAGAUACGUGUAUCUGUCUGAAAGUAUCGUACGAAUGAGGAUCGGCUAACUCCGUGCCAGCAGCCGCGGUACUACGGAGGAUUCAAGCGUUAUCCGGAUUUAUUGGGUUUAAAGGGUGCGUAGGCGGUCGGAUAAGUUAGAGGUGAAAUCCCGAGCCUCAACUUCGGACUUGCCUCUGCUCCUGGU